This is a long non-coding RNA of Gopherus evgoodei (Goodes thornscrub tortoise), 115 nucleotides long. RefSeq lists it as uncharacterized. The transcript has 3 exons. The record is from RefSeq and is a predicted model, not a curated record. NCBI's taxonomy places the organism in Eukaryota, Metazoa, Chordata, Testudines, Testudinidae.
GGGCUCUCUGCUGUUUUUAAAAUAAACCAAAGAGGCAAAUGGCCUCUCCGGGUCAGACCCCCAGACAUGCCUCUUCUGUGAUGAACUGCAUGCAAUUCUAGGGGGUGCCCUCACC